This 225-nucleotide long non-coding RNA is filed under the name Lathyrus oleraceus (garden pea). Its description in RNAcentral is "Pisum sativum (pea) long non-coding RNA (PSAT_LNC018313)". The record is from RNAcentral. Lineage: Eukaryota; Viridiplantae; Streptophyta; Magnoliopsida; Fabales; Fabaceae.
GUUUUCAUAGUUUCAAGAGGAGUGGGUUCAAUACUUGUGUGUAGCACUUUUUUUAGUUUUUUUUUUUUUUAGUAUUUCAUUUUCUUUAGUAUUUUAUUUUUUUUAGUAUUUCAUUUUCUUUUAGCUUUUAUUUUUUAGUAUUUUAUUGUCUUUUAGCAUUUUGUUUCUUUUAAUAUUUUUUUUAUGUCCAUGCUUCUUUAUUAAUUUCAUCAUAUAUUCGAAACC